RNAcentral lists this transfer RNA (122 nucleotides) under Chryseobacterium oryctis. Its description in RNAcentral is "tRNA-Phe". It matches the Rfam family "tRNA". From Rfam's summary of the family: Transfer RNA (tRNA) molecules are approximately 80 nucleotides in length. Their secondary structure includes four short double-helical elements and three loops (D, anti-codon, and T loops). Lineage: Bacteria; Pseudomonadati; Bacteroidota; Flavobacteriia; Flavobacteriales; Weeksellaceae. The record is from RNAcentral.
GGAAGAGUGGUGUAGCAGGUCUGCACGUUAGUCUGAAAAACUAAAGGUACAGGUUCGAAAUACGAAGUAUUCGUGAAUACUAUAAAUAAAUAUAAAAUUCAUGAACAAUCCUGUCUGUUCCA